ACAGUGCCUCUGACUUUUUCAUAGGACAGUUGGCCGGUGAAUCUUAUUAAUAGUUUACCACAAUUAAGUGUUCAUUUUUAGUCUAGAAGGGACAGGCGUUUAUUGUGCAUUGGCCAGUGCCAGCACAUCCGAUGCAAGGCAGUUCACCGUAUUCUAUCUUUAAUUUUUACCAUGGUCCUCUGAGGUAGGUGUUCUUAUCUCUCUCUCUCUCUCUCUCUUUUAAACAGAGGAAGACAAACAUAAAGAUGAAGUGCUUAAUUCAAGGUCACACAAUGUCGGGGAUGGACCUCCAGAUUUCCUUACUGGAAAACAAGCUCAGGGCUCCCACUGAUUGUACAUUAUGAGACGGAGUCUUGCUAUGUUGCCCAGGCUGGUCUUGAACUCCUCACCUCAAGCGAUCCUCCCGUCUUGGCCUCCCAAGUGUCAGGAUUACGGGCAUGUGCUAUCACACCCAACCUGAUACAUUGCCUUUAUAAAUUUUUUUUUCUUUAUUCUAAAAACCAGAAAAAACAAAACUGGAUACAUGUGCAGAACAUGCAGGUUUGUUACAUAGCUGUACGUGUGCCAUGGUGGUUUGCUGCACCUAUUGACCUAUCCUGUAAGUUCCCUCCCCUCACCCCCACCCCCCAACAGCCCU
RNAcentral lists this long non-coding RNA (637 nucleotides) under Homo sapiens (human). Its description in RNAcentral is "PCBP1 antisense RNA 1". The record is from RNAcentral. Lineage: Eukaryota; Metazoa; Chordata; Mammalia; Primates; Hominidae.